AGCUCCUCCCUGGCCCUCUCCGCCUAGCUGGGCCUGGAAUCUCGAGCAACCCAGGACCUAUGAAGGGGGCUCUCAGGCCAGGUGGCUCUGGGUGUGAGGCCAGGGCCACCCUGCAGGGGACCAGCCUCAGUUAUCAGUGGUGCUGGAGGAAGUGCAGGUAGAGGGAUGGUUGCCCUGGCAACGGGAGGACUCCCCAAGAAAGAAGAAGUGGAGUGGGAAGGGGCAGCUGAAGACUGGGGCUCCAGGGCCAUCUGCGCUGCCAGGUGGACACCCAGCUUAAGGCUGGACCUGCUCACCUUCAGGGAAAGGGGGGCAGCCCCAGGAGAGAGCUUGUCUGUCCCCAGGCAGCCACCUGAGGAGGGUGCCGUCCCUCCUCUGCCCCCAGUAAGGCCAGGAGAGAGGGUUAUAGAAAGGGAGUAGGUGCCAGGCCUUGGGGCUCUGCAGGUGGAGGGCCACCGCCUCGCCACCUGAGCAGUACGGGCCUCCGGCCUGUGCUGACCUGAGCACCUGGAACAGCAAGGGGCAGGAGGCCAGAGUCCUGCUCCUCAGGGCCGCAUCCUCCUGACUUGAACAGGACACCAGCACUUCCAGAGUGAUAUGCCUUCAGGGCCCUGUGGCUUGGAGACCACGGGAGACAUGAGAGGUCCCUAGAAUGACUGACGGCAGCUGGUAAUGCUGGGACCCUGAUGCCCCCAUGGCUCCGAGGCCUCCCACCUGAGCAGAUCCCUGUACCUGGAGCCGGGUGGAGGGGCGGGUCCCCGAAGAGGACCUGGAAGUAGUCUCUGGCUUAAGCCACGGUAUAGUAGUGACUGCCUGGAAGACAGGGCUCUGAACCACUCCAGUCCCCUCCCAGAGACCAUGUGACUCAGGGCUCAGAGUGGGGCAGGGCAUCUGCAGCAGCCCUGUGGGCCUGUGUGGAGGCUGUGGGCUUGUGGACACUCUGGCCGGGCCUGCGCUCGUUCAGGAGGCAGAGUGGGGCCUCCAGUGGGCCCCAACUGGCCGGGCGGUGGUUGAAGACUGGAGGAUCGCAGCACCUAAGGACCUGGCCCUGGCCUGCAGCUGUCACAGGCAGAUGCUCCUCUGUCCUUGCCUAGCAGGAGCCUCUGUGCCACUCUCCUGCCACAGUGCAC
RNAcentral lists this long non-coding RNA (1130 nucleotides) under Marmota monax (woodchuck). The record is from RNAcentral. Lineage: Eukaryota; Metazoa; Chordata; Mammalia; Rodentia; Sciuridae.